GACGAACGCUGGCGGCGUGCCUAACACAUGCAAGUCGAACGGGGUGUCGGAAGCUUGCUUCUGACACUUAGUGGCGAACGGGUGAGUAACGCGUGAGGAACCUGCCUUUCAGUGGGGGACAACAGUUGGAAACGACUGCUAAUACCGCAUAGCAUUGACUUUGGGCAUCCUUAGUCAAUUAAAGAAUUUCGGAAACGGAUAGGCUCGCGUGACAUUAGCUAGAUGGCGGGGUAACAGCCCACCAUGGCGACGAUGUCUAGGGGUUCUGAGAGGAAGGUCCCCCCANACUGGAACUGAGACACGGUCCAGACUCCUACGGGAGGCAGCAGUGAGGAAUAUGGUCAAUGGUCCUGACGACUGAACCAGCCAUGCCGCGUGAAGGUCACGGCCCUAUGGGUCUUAAACUUCUUUGUCAGGGAGCAAUAAGCCUCACGUGUGGGAUGAUGAGAGUACCUGACGAAUAAGCAUCGGCUAACUCCGUGCCAGCAGCCG
RNAcentral lists this ribosomal RNA (492 nucleotides) under uncultured bacterium. Its description in RNAcentral is "bacterial SSU rRNA". It matches the Rfam family "Bacterial small subunit ribosomal RNA", at positions 28 to 517 of the family's 1533-position model. The record is from RNAcentral.